CACAUUCCCAUAACCACCUGAUGUGAAUUCCUGCAAGGGAGAGUGAAUUAUGGGCGCUUCCUGGGCUGGGUCAUGAGGAAACCACUAGAACCAUGCCAGUGAGUCACAGAAUGGUUUGGGUUGGAAGGGACCUUAAAGCUCAUCCAGUUCCACCCCCCUGCCACAGGCAGGGACACCUUCCACUAGACCAGGAUGCUCAAAGCCCCAUUCAGCCUGGCCUUGAACACUGCCAGGGAUGGGGCAGCCACAGCUUCUCUGGGCAACCUGUGCCAGGGUCUCAGCACCCUCACAGGGAACAACCUUUUCAUAAUACCUCAUCUAAAUCUCCCCUCUGUCAAAUAAUUUCUCUUGCGCUGUCCCUACAUGCCCUUGUAAAAUGACUUAACUCUCAUUCUACAGCAGCAACCAAACAAAAAGUUAACCUGGCUCUAAACUGUAUCUAAAUAAUAUUUACCCACAUGAAUCAAUUUUAAAACUUUCAUAUUGUAAUCCUCCUGGAAAUUUCAGUGACUGUUAAGAAAAAGACGCAAUCCAAAGCAGGAAGCAGCAACCCAGUAUGGUGACAGCCAAGCAAAACUCCAAGUGGAUCUUGGCAAUGACUGAAUAAUGGCACAAAAUACCAGUGCUGCCUCUUUGCUUAAGGCUCCUUCCCCUUCCAAGCCCCGCUACACUAAGGAAUUAGCUGCAUUUCUGUAAAGUUCCCUUGAAUUCCUUGAGUGUUACAGCUAACCAUGCUUCCCCUUCAUCUCAAAACAGAUCCUUUGAAGUCUUCCAGAGAUACCCAAGAAAGAAGACACAUCCAAAUACCUAGACUACCCCCAAACUCCACCCUGGAACAGAUGGCAGGGAUCAGCAAAGCAGCAGAGGAAGUAAAAUGAGUGAAGUGAUGCUAUGAUGGAGAUCAACAGGAAGUUUUGGCCACUAACUUGCAUUUCAGCUGAUGUGGUUUAACCAAGGGAAAUAAAGGACGAAAAAAGGCAGCUAAGCCUCCUCACUAUAAGGUCAGUAAAUCACAAUUCCUAAAUUCUUUUCUCCAUUUCAGGUUUUUUCUUUAGGGAAACAAAAUUAUCUUAAAAUUUACAAGAAAGCUAUGAGUACAAAGUUACUAAUGCUCUGCUCAGCAGAGAUCUUCAGAGGAGCCUAGAACUAAAAGAAUAUUUUAACAAAAUGCCAGAAACAGGAAUAAGUUACUGAAGGGAGAAUAAACCCAACACACUUGUGUUUCUAAGCACCUCAAUAAUGUUGUCAAUAAACCCAGAUGCAUCCUUUCCACAAAUGCAGCAGUGACAAUUGAUUCAAAUAGAUGACACUUCUGUAAUGUGUCUAUUUGACUCUCAAGCUGAAGCAGAUAAAAAUUCAAAGAUUUGACUUCCUUGGUAUUUGUAUGUUAAUACACACAGCUUUAGGGAAAUUGUUGCAACUCAACUUACAUUUCAUUCUGCACAGUGAGUGACAUUCAAGUACCUAACCGCAAGUUUCAUAGUGCUCCCAGUCAUAGCAUUCACAUCUCAUAGGCUGUCAUUAGCCUGAUGCAUUAUCUUUUUUGGAAAAAAAUCUGUCAUGAGCACCAGGCUCCCCUUGGUUCAGACAGGCAGGAGGAGAGCUGACUCAUCCUCUUUUUUCCCUUUCAUCCUGAUUUGUAUUGUCUCCUUUUCAAUUUAGUUUUCCCAUGUUAUAUAAGGAGAAGGAGACGGAGACUCCCGUUUUUACAAAAACUGGAAAGAUAAGGGGUGAUGGCACACGUUACUUCUGGGGAGAUUCCAGUUGGAUGCUAGAGGAAAAUUUUUCCCAGUGAGAACAACCAGCCAUUUGAAUAAUCUCCCCAGGGAAGUGGUGGAUUUCCCAACAUCGGAGACUGUUAAAGUUUGGCUGGACAGCGUGCUGGGCCAUCUAGUCUAGGUCAUGCUUUGCCUAAAAAGGUUGGAGAAGGUGACCCUUGAGGUUUCUUCCAACCUGGUAUUGUAGGAUUCUAUGAAGGGGUAUGGCUACAUGUAUGUAUAAUAUGUGUGCAUGUGCAAAGGACGACAAGAGAAAGAAUGUGUUUUGAACCUCCACCUAUUCCUCUUACAGUUCCUUUUUGCUUCCUCUCCUUGGAGGUAUUUUAUUAUGAAAUUCAAAUGAGUUCUCCUUUCUGUUGCUUUUGUUGAAAGAGAAAAAUAGGACAGAAAGCCAGCUAGGAGGAAACGUUCAUGAUCUGGAGUCCUUGGCCUUGCUGAAGUUUCUUGCUGUGUUUUUACAGAAAGUGGGUAAGCAGCUACACCUCGCAACAAGCCACUAAAGUUUCUCCAUCACCAGCCAGUUUUAACUAGGGCUGGUUUUGCCCAAACCACCACUGCACUUAAAACAAGUUUGACUGCAAAUAGAGACCUCCAUUCAUGGAACUGGGGUCUACCGAGGCAACAAGGGGGCCAUGCAUUGACUCUGGUUGAUCUUAUGACUGAGUUGGAAGAUCUCUCCCUCAUAGAGACUGUCUGAUACCCACUCAUGCAAACUGGAGCUGCACCUCUCCCCAAGGCUCAGCUUGACUGAAACAGGACAACAGGUUCAGAAGUUAUUGGGUUGAGCAAACAUCCAUAUAUGUGGAAUGGUAAGAAACCUGGGUGAGUCUGAGCCUCAUUUUGCAAAAAAACGACACAGAUGAUCAUAAGGGCAAAACAGGGGAGUGCCACCAUGGAUCCAAGCAGAGAUCCCAAGCAGUGAGCUAUCCACAGUGAAGAAACCAAAAGGUUUAGGUGUAGCCACCUGAAACAGUCAGUUAUUUGGAUGUACUCGGUAAUAGGCAAAUGUCUAAAAUAUCACAUUCAUAAAGAAACCUCUACCCCAGCUUCUUUCUUUAAGACUAAUGAAGGGCUGCAUCAGCCAGCACUAGAACAACACUAACCAAGGUCUCAGGGCAGCUGAUGCCAGACAGGACCACCCAUAGCAGAAUCGGAGGUUGCACCAGGCUCCCAGAGUGCUUCACCAAUAAGUCUGGGGUCAAACUACAGAAACACAGGAGAAAGAGAGCUGAGAUG
Long non-coding RNA from Pezoporus occidentalis (night parrot), 3014 nucleotides. RefSeq lists it as uncharacterized. The transcript has 3 exons. Lineage: Eukaryota; Metazoa; Chordata; Aves; Psittaciformes; Psittacidae. The record is from RefSeq and is a predicted model, not a curated record.